UCCAGUUCACACUGCACAGUGUAAGAGAAGGAAAUGAGGAAGACUGGACAGAUCGCUUAAGGAUGAGCUUUACCUUGAGAAGAAGUCAGUCUCUAAAGACUCUUUCUGGAGGUCAUAGUUCAUGGUCCACAUCACAGAUUCUGUUGUGGGACAAGAGGACAUCUGUGUCUCAGCUUGUUCAAAAGUAUGAAAGCUGUGUAGACCUCACAGAUGUUGGCAGAGAAGAGACCUGGUCUAAGACAUCCGGGCUGAGAAGAUCAAACCAUGCUGAGAUUCAAGAGAGUAAAGUUGAGAGUCUCUGGAGGAAAUAUGAGUCCUUCAGUGCCUCUAAUCCCACAUUGUCCAAAAGUAUUUCUAUGGACAUGCUACCCCAGCCAGAUCCAGCAGGCGCUAAUUCACAAAGGACACUGUUUGAGUCAAAGAAUGCCCUACACCGAGACUACACCAGCAGCCCCCGGCUCAACAUCCCACCACAAGCCAAAAUGAGCCCUGUGAGUCUCAUGACAUCAUCAGGGCGAGAGCAAAGUUAUUCCAGUACGCAUGUCACUAGAUCCAUGAAGACUCAUCAGAUGGAUAAAGGAUUUGAGUCAACAGGAAGGAGAACCAUCACUGAGGGUCAUGGAUAUGUCACCACUCGAUACCCCAGUGGACUAAAUGAUGAGAAGAGACCUUUCAAGACAGACCUCAAAGAAUCAUCCUAUAUUCAAGGGCGCAAACAGAAGUUUACAUCCUCUCCCAUCCCAACCCUGAAAGAAAGAUCUGCCGUAUAUCUCUCAAAGGUUGCAGCUUCAGACGCCUCAGGAUCCACCGAACAGACAGGCAGCGUGACCCAAGAGCACGGAAAGAAGAAACAAAACAAGAUGGCAGAAAUCAACAAACAGGUAAAAGUUACAGAUCCAGCCUGUGGAGAUGAUGAUAUCCCUCCCCCUCCACCUCCUCUACCAAGACCUCAUGUUCUGGAGGCAAUCCAAAAUGAUCUCAGCCAGAAUUUCCUCCCUGUACCACCUCCAAAAGAAACUUUCACAGAGUUCUACCAGCAAAGACAGAAAACUGAACUGAAACGUCUUUUCAAACACAUUCAUCCUGAGUUAAAAAUGAAUCUUGAGGAUGUCGUAGAUGAUGAACUUAUCAAGGCAAUAAAUCCCCAAGCAGGAGAUACAGCAUAUCAGGGAGAAGUCCAAUCCAUGCGAUGGAUAUUUGAAAACUGGAGUCUUGACAAUAUCGGAGACCCACAUGAAACGAAAAAAAUACUUGAUGAGGAAAAUCUUCAAGGUGGGGAUGUGAGGGGCACAUCUUCCUUGUUUGAGCAUUCAGUGUUUGGUGGUCAACAUAUAACAGGUGGUGAGAGACCUGUUUUAGCCCAAGGAGACGUCCGCACCGCCACCUGGCUGUUUGAGACGCAGCAUCUGGAUUCAAUCAGUAAGUCAAAAAUGGAGGAAGAGGAAAUUGUGGAGGUUGUUCUCAAGGAAGCUAUUCAGAAGGGAGAUGUGAGUGGUGCGCGUCUCUUAUUUGAAUCCAAGCCAUUGGAUGCCCUGGGUCGCUGCUGUUCUGUUGAAGAUCAACAUUUCCUUACACUGAAAUCAGAACUAGAGGAAAACAAAGGAGAUGUGAAGAAAACUGUCAAACUCUUUCAAGCAGAUCCCUGUUGUGCUCUUAGGGACAGCAAUGGUCACAUCCAUGAGAUCAAGUCAAUUUGUAGUGAAGAAAUCCAAUGCAGUAACUUUAAAACAGCACGUUGGCUGUUUGAAACUCAACCUUUGGACCACAUUAAUAAAGGAAAAACUGGUGUGCAAAUCAUUCGGGGGAUCUCUCUUGAGGAAGCCCAGAAGAGCGGUGUUGACAAAAAGAGAUGGAUGUUUGAGACCCAACCUCUUGACGCUAUUCGUGAAGGUGUUGUGGAAGAACAAAAUUUUCAAGGAACAGUGGAGGACUUCUCAGGAGAAGCAGCUGUUCAGAACAAACAUACAAUUUUGUCAUCAGCUAAAGGAGAGCUUAUGGGUAAGGAAAGAGAUGAUAUUGUUGGAGGUAAUGUAGGCUCCACCCUGUGGCUUUUUGAGACACAGCCUAUGAACACUCUGAAAGAAAACUAUGAGAUGGGACAUCUCAAAAAAGUUAUGGUAUCCAGCGAUGAAAAAGGAGAAGUUAAAGACAAAAGGCAGCACUUUGAGAAUACCAGAGUUUGUAAAACAACAAAUGAAGGGAGCAAAGUUGAAGACUCAGAAAGAGGAGAUGUCAAGACAUUCAAGAAUCUUUUUGAAGCUAUACCUCUCAGUCAAAUUUCUCAAUCUGAAAAUGCACCCGCUCAAGUCUGUGAUGUUACAGCUGGGGACGUCAAAGGCAACCGAUCACUGUUUGAAUCCACUCCAUUUUAUGCGAUGAAGGACAGUGCUGGAAACUUCCACAAGGUAACAACUGUCAGCAGGGAGGAAUGCUUAAAAGGAAAUGUACAGAAUUACAGAUGGAUGUUUGAGACGAAACCUCUAGACCAGUUUGAAGAAGGUAAAGACAAAAUAGAAGUCAUCAAAGGCAUCACUAGGCAAGAAGACACAACAAAUGAUGUGAGAACAGCUAAAUGGAUGUUCGAAACACAACCUUUAGAUAAUAUCCAUUCAAAAUUCAAUCAGAAAGAAGUGGACUCAACAGCAUCACAGGAGGAAUUUCAAAAAGGUAAUGUAAAGACAUGCAAAUGGCUAUUUGAAACACAACCAAUGGACAUUCUGUAUGACAAAUCUGAGAGAAACCAGGAUGUACAACCGGUGCCAAAGGCUAAUGUGAAAUCACACACUUGGCUUUUUGAAACCCAGCCAUUAGAUAACAUCAAGGACAAAGAUGAAUUCAGUUUGAAAUUGUGCAGUCCUGUGGAGGAUGAUGUAAAAAGUGAUGUCAAUGUGAAGACAGUGAAACACCUGUUUGAAACUGAGACUUUGGACAGAAUAACAAUGCAAACAGAUUCUGCUCAAAAUGUAAGAUAUGUCAGUGAAGUUGACGUCCAGUCUGGAGAUGUAUCUAGAGUAAAAGAUUUUUUUGAAUCCAAGACACUUGAUGAAAUAGGAAGCGAGUGCUUCAAAGAGUCGAAGACUGGGCAGCAAGACAAUGAAAUUCAGUCUGGAUCAGUGCACAAAUUCACUUGGCUCUUUGAGAAUCAACCGAUCUGUGAUAUUAAUGAGAAUGAGGAUCAAAUUAACUAUAGUGUUCAAGAUGUUGAAAGCGGUGAUGUCGUAGGCAAAAAGUUUAUUUUUGAAACUUUCUCCCUGGACAAAAUCAAGGAUAAAGACCAACUACUUGAGAAUCAGUCAAUAAGUGUUGAGAAACCUGUGAACGCAAGCGUUGAUGUUAAAUCCAGCACAAUGCUUUUUGAAUCCCAGCCUUUGUAUGCUAUUAAAGACAAAGAUGGACAGUUUCAUGAAGUUACCACGGUGAAGAAAGAGGAAAUGAUGGGAGGAGAUGUGAGCGGAGCAAGAUGGAUGUUUGAAACGAAGCCACUUGAUACCAUUCAAGCAGACAAAGAGAUUUACAUUAUCCGUGCAGUUACACAGGAGGAUGUGAUCAAGGGUGAUGUAAAAUCAGCUCGUUGGAAGUUUGAGACACAGCCUUUGGACUCCCUCGCAGAAUCUGAAAGACCGUCAAUCAGGAUUGUGGAAGAUUUAAGCCAUGGAAAAAAUGUGCAAGAAAGCAAACAACUUUUUGAGACCGAGCAAGUAGCCCAAAAGAAGUAUGUAAGGAUGGUGAGCGUUACAGAUGUUCGACAAGGUGAUGUGCGCACUUCCACCUGGCUCUUUGAGAACCAGCCAAUCGAUACUCUGAAAGGUGAGCAACAUGAGCAGAAUACCUUGCAGACUGUACAUCGGGAGGAUAACACAAAGGGUAAUGUAAAACGAUGCACUUGGCUGAUGGAUUCCCAGCCCCCAGAUCAGAUUAAGAACCACGAAUCAAACAAAGAGUUUGUUUCGUCAAAGGAAGACAUUCCAAAGGCGGAUGUCAAAAGCACAACUUGGUUAUUCGAAACCACACCGCUAGACAAAAUCAUAGUGGAAAGUGUUACAGACAUCCUCUACCGCCUUUGUCAGCAUUCAUUUAUUCAUUCAAGUGGUAUCAUCAUCCAAGCCGAUGAUUAUAAGUAUGUAAACAUGGCAAAGUAUCAGUUUGUCAACAGUGAGGGUCCUAAAGUUCAAAAGGAGGAAGUUGUUGAGGGAAACAUCAGAAACAUAAUGCUACAGUUAUUGUUCAAACCAAACCUGAAACCUAAAGUUGUUCUUCUUAAAGAGGAUGAAGAAGGAAAGUUGCACAGCACGGUGCUUGAAAUACCAUUUCAACAGGCUGAAUCUGCGGACAACCCAGACUCCGAAUGCAAGAUUCAAGAAGCUGUUACAAUUAUUGAGAGCUUGCUGGUUCAUCAGAAAUCAAUCAAGACAGGCUUGAUAAUGCAAGAAUCAGAAGGAAAACAACCAGAGAUGACAGUGUAUUCCCUCUAUUAUCAAAAAAGUCUGACAACAGAGUCGUGCAAUGUCACACGAGGAGAUGUCAAGUCCACCAUCGGCAACCUUCUUGCCACAGUCCACAGCCAGCAGACCAAGCCAUCCUGCAGGUUAGAAAAAAAUGAGAGGGGGAAUGUUGAUUUGUACAGAAAUUGUAUUGAAAAAGGUGACCUUCAGUUUCUUAAGACUCUGCAGAGAGAGCUUUCUGAAGAGGAACCAACAUCCUCCUCGAAGGAUGAAAAUGAAAUCAUUCAGGGUGACGUGAAGGAAGCAAAGAGACAUCUCAAUCAACAAAGGGAACAAGUUGAGAGAACGGUUCUGGAUGUUGUACCUGGAGAUGUGAAAACCGUUAAAAAGGUUUUCUCAGAGGGCUGUGUAGAUCAGACCGUUGAAAACUGCAUGCCAAAAGAGGAGAUCCUUAAAGGUGAUGUUUUCUCAGCCAAGCAGCAACUUGAUGAAGCAACCAAGCAGCCAAUCAUGGUACAAAGAGAGGAAAUAGUGUCUGGGGAUAUUAAAGCAACACUCGAAUCCUUAGAGCGAGCAAAGCAGCAAAGUAUGCAAGUGGAACGUGAGGUCAUCAUACCAGGCACCAUUUACGAUCUGAAUGUAGAAACUGGCCCAGAGGAAGAUGAAAGUAAAGUAAUAAAGGAGGAAAUAAUUUCAGGAGAUGUUAAGGCCGCCAAAAGGUCGCUGGAAAUGGCGAAGAAUCAAAGUAUUAGAGUUGAACGGGAACCUAUCACUCCUGGAAAGUUAUACAAUAUAAAUGAAUCAUCUCAGUGCCAAAACAUCUCGACAAUGCAGGAGACUACAACAACAUCCUCGAGCAACCAGCGGAUAACUACAACAUUUCGAAAGGUUAGUGAUAUAGAAAAGGAUCAGGGAUCCACUGAAAGUCAUCAGAAUGAAGUGAGAAGGAGAGAUGUAAUAGAUAAUAGUACAGAAAAUGACUCAACAAGGUUAGAUUGUACUAAAUAUCCAGAAACAGAGCCUAAAAUUGUUAAAGGUGAUGUGAAGGCUACAAUUCAGUCUUUACAAAGUGUGAUAAAGGAGCAGAGAAGUGUAGACAGAGAGGACAUUGUAAGGGGUAAUAUGCAAGAGACACUCAAGUGUCUUGAAAAAUCUAGCAUUAAUGUUUCUAAAGGCGAUUAUAAGGCAGCAAUGUUAUAUAGAAAAUCUUGUACAGAAAAGAAUAGGUUGAAAAAUGACUCAGGGAUUGAGGAAUGCAAGCAGAGUUGUGUUGUAACAUUGCCUUCAUCUGAUAUUGAAUUGUCUUCUUCGGUUUCAGUGACUAGCAGUGAGCAUCUGACCUUCUUGGCACUGAACUCGGAACCUAUUAGUUCCACCUUAGACCAUUCAAACCAGCUCCCUAAGAAACAUCCACCACCUAUCCCUCCAAAAACUGCUCUUCAGGUUAAAAGUCAGAAACCAGCCAUUCCACCAAAGCCAUUAAACAUUAUCACUCCUUCUGAACACACUGCAGAAACCCAACAAAUCUGUCCAACUUCAUCAAUUCCACCCAAAAAUACACCAAUGAACAAAACUCCCUUGCGUAAAAAGGAAACAUGGAAUUUUGAAUGCUCAAACAAAAUGAAAGGCAAGCUAUUCAACAAUCAUGAACCAGUUCAAAGAACAAAAGUCACAGAUCCUAUGAAUCUACAGAAAAUGCAGUACACUGAGCAAUGGGUUCAGAAUUCACACAUGCAACAUAUGGACAUGGCAUCAGUCAGCCAGAUUGAGAACAUUUAUGAUAGUUCACUGGCUUGUAAUACACCAGGAAUGGAGAAAAAUGUGAUUCAGAAGAUAAAUGCUGCUGAAGAGAUCAAAAUGUGUAUGCAGAACCACUCAAAUAACAAAGACUUAAACAUGGGAUUUAAAGUUCCGCUUCAGAAUUUUGGGGAGAAGCAAACAGCCAAUAUAGAAACCUCAUCUUCCCCGAAGAAAAUGAAAGUUCUACCAAAUAAAAACAUCCAGGAAGCUCAAGAAUCCCAAGAUAACGCAAUUGAAGUUGCCCUACACCUGCCUAGAAAAGAUAAAAUUAGAAAUACCCCAGAUACACGUGAUGUGCCUUCAGAACUCCACCAAACCUUUGAAGAGAACAAAAACACAGUACAAAAAGUUGUUUUGAGAAAAAAGAAAGUAAAACGGGAAACGGAAGAUGAACGUCGCCAAAGGCUGUCCGUCCACAAAGAGGAGAUCAUGAAGGGCAAUGUGAAAGCAGCAAUGGAGAUCUUUGAAAAUCUUAUGAGACGAGAGGAACUGAAAAUAAUCCUCUCAAAAGUUCAAGAAAUAGAGGGGGAGACGUAUGAGGUUGAUGUCAGAUCUUUGAAGACUUUGUAUGAGAAUGUGCCUGCUUGGAUUGCCAAUCCAGUAAAAAUUAUGAAACAUAGACCUUCAACAAAAGAGAGGAGAUCUGACAGAGAAGCUGAGGGCUCAAGAGAUGAUGUGGAGAGUGUGUCUUCUGUCGAGGCUGCUUUUGGGGAUCUAGAGAAAGCAAGCAUGGACAUUGCAAUUUUGAAAGAGCAGACAUUAGCUAAACUUUUGGACAUCGAGGAAGUUAUAAAAAAAGCGUUGUUUUCCGUAUCGAAUUUAAAGUCAGAAGCUGACAUUGCUGGAUUAUCAAGUCUAUUUAGUGAAUCUUUAAACACUGAAAAUGUUUCUCCAGGUACUAAUAACAUUAGGAAAAUAAGCAUAGCAUCCAGUAAAACAAAGCCUGCACAAUCGAAACAGGUACAUAGCACUGAUAGAUUUGGUAGGAAAAACUAUUCAGAGCUGCCAAAAGACGCAUCACAACAUCAAACGGGCAAACCAUCCUCCAGUCAUCCUUCUUCUCCAUCAUUUAUUUCCAUUCAUUCAGCUGCAAGAAAACCAGUGGAAACAAAAGCAGAUCAACCUAAUCUAAGCAGCACCUUCAAACAGUCCUCAGCUGAGAAAAGCUCUGCCAACCACAUUUGUCGCCCUUCAAGUCCUCAAAGGAACGUGAGCCUUCUUGAGGUACAAACGGUUCCCGAAGCUGGAAGUGGAAUCAUUGGAACAAAGACUGUCAGUGAGAAAUAUGAGAAGACAGAUUGCUUUGGAAAUAAAUAUUUCUCAUCUAAAAGAUCAACAUUUGUAACAAGACAGUCUGAGAGAGAAUUAUCUUCCUCAUUUGAUGUGGUUACCAGUUCAGGGAAGUAUGAUGUCAUGACUCUACCUGUAUCGCACAGGAGCGGCCACACCUUCUCUUCAAAUUCUCCAAGUAAAAAAAAAGACCAAAGCAAAGUGUUUGUUACUUUCGGUCAUUUAGACACAGAAAAACAAUAACCUGGCAGUUCAUUUCCUUUUUUCAAUAGACUUGUUUAAAAGAAAUACUGUAAGAAUUGUGUUUUGGUGAUGUCUUUUUUCCAAUUUCUUCUUUAAAAGAAAAAAAAUAGCUUAUUGAUCCUCAUUUUUUGUGUGUACAGUUAAACAGCUUUGUGAUAUUUAUCUACAUGACGGUUGAGAGGGGUUUUUCAUACAGUUAUAACUUGUGAUUUAAAAAAUGUAGAUAUGUAUGUUUGUUUCAAAUGUUGUAUAUUAAACUAAACUAAAAUACAAAAAACGUACUUGCUGUAAUAAUUUUAUUUUGAAUUUCUGAUUAUUUGUCUUAUUGUUGCUUUCUAUAGGAGUUGAAAUUUUGAAAAAGGUUACAAAAUAUAAACUAAAAUCUUUAAAUGUUGGUGUAAAAAACAUUAAAAUUAUGUCAUCAUUUACACGCCCUCUUGUCAUUUUAAACCUGGAUGACUUUCUUUCUGUUGACAACAUUCUUCAAAAUAUCUUCUUUUGUGUUCUGCAGAAGAAAGAAAGUCAUACAGGUUUGAAAUGAAAGGAUGGUGACUAAAUGAUGACAGAAUUUUCCCUUUGAAUGUGAACCACUAUAGUAUAGAUUUUUUUAUCAUUGGAAGGUUAUGCUCUGUGUACAAGUUUUUGAAUACUUAUUCUGUAUAAUCUAUCUAUGUCUAUAUUGUUGUCAUAGUUCCUGUCACCUGCUAAAGAGAUGUGCUCUGCCUGCCUGACACCAGUUUACACAGUGGAGAAAAUGGUGGCAGAUAAACUAAUCCUACAUUACAGCUGCUUUUGCUGCAAACAUUGUAAAACAAAGUUAAGCCUUCACAAUUAUUCUGC
This is an RNA transcript of Triplophysa dalaica, 8615 nucleotides long. It is a transcript of the gene named xin actin binding repeat containing 1, with no coding region annotated. The transcript has 9 exons. NCBI's taxonomy places the organism in Eukaryota, Metazoa, Chordata, Actinopteri, Cypriniformes, Nemacheilidae. The record is from RefSeq and is a predicted model, not a curated record.